Anguilla anguilla (European eel) is the source of this 786-nucleotide long non-coding RNA. RefSeq lists it as uncharacterized. The record is from RefSeq and is a predicted model, not a curated record. The transcript is spliced from 3 exons. Lineage: Eukaryota; Metazoa; Chordata; Actinopteri; Anguilliformes; Anguillidae.
CGGGGCCCAAAGAAUCCAGAGAGAGGAGGCGCGCCGGGGGGACCCCUGCAGUCGCCGGUGCUCCUCAGCUGUUUCCGAACUUCAGACCGGCGCAGGCCAGGCCCCCGAGCGAACGAGCGAGAGAGAGAGAACGAGCGAGAGAAAGCAAAAGGGCUCUUUCUGCCCAGUUCAGGAGAGACAGAACUAAACGGCGCGAGUGAGGACACUGAGGUCUGAACAGCAGCACAUGAAAAUGGGGAACUGCCAGAAAACAAGGAAUUACACUUAAAAGCCCUCAGACCGAAACAAGUUAAACACGGAGUGGUCACAAUCUGUGGAACCUGGCCAGUGAUGGGUCGCGUUUCAUCAGCCCGCCGGUUCCUUCCGGAACAUUCUGGAUGACUUCCUCUCCUCAGACAGGGAGUCGGCAGGUGGGAGGCGAGAUGGGCGGGACAGCUGGCUUCAAACAAGUGCAUCAUGGGAAAAUGCAAUGACAUAACACCCCCCCCCCGGACAAGCCCUGCCUUCGGAGAAGUGGGAUAGGGUGUGGAGGACAGAGGAGUCAGUAGACCAAUACGAGUUGGAUAGAACUGCACAGGGGAUUAUGGAUCUGAAUGCGUGCCUGUGUGCGUGUGCGUGUGCGUGUGUGUGUGUGUGUGUGUGUGUCUGUGCCUGUGCCUGUGUGUGUGUCUGUGCGUGUGUGUCCGCACGUUUAUCGUUACAUACCUAUGUGUGUUGAUGUUGGUGUGUUUGACUGUAGUUCUGUGGCAGUAUGCAAUACUAAUAUAAAUACUACAUGCUUUGCGG